Rhincodon typus (whale shark) is the source of this 128-nucleotide small nuclear RNA. The record is from RefSeq and is a predicted model, not a curated record. Lineage: Eukaryota; Metazoa; Chordata; Chondrichthyes; Orectolobiformes; Rhincodontidae.
GUGUUGUAUGAAGGGAGAGAAGGUUACCAUCUCACCUUGAUAAGGAUGAAAGGGAUCCUAGUAUCCUUACAACACACAGAUGGUUAAGGUAUUGCAAUCUACUUGGUGACAUUGAACCAUGUUUUUAA